RNAcentral lists this ribosomal RNA (759 nucleotides) under Neisseria subflava. Its description in RNAcentral is "bacterial SSU rRNA". It matches the Rfam family "Bacterial small subunit ribosomal RNA", at positions 28 to 776 of the family's 1533-position model. Lineage: Bacteria; Pseudomonadati; Pseudomonadota; Betaproteobacteria; Neisseriales; Neisseriaceae. The record is from RNAcentral.
AUUGAACGCUGGCGGCAUGCUUUACACAUGCAAGUCGGACGGCAGCACAGAGAAGCUUGCUUCUUGGGUGGCGAGUGGCGAACGGGUGAGUAACAUAUCGGAACGUACCGAGUAAUGGGGGAUAACUAAUCGAAAGAUUAGCUAAUACCGCAUAUUCUCUGAGGAGGAAAGCAGGGGACCUUCGGGCCUUGCGUUAUUCGAGCGGCCGAUAUCUGAUUAGCUAGUUGGUGGGGUAAAGGCCUACCAAGGCGACGAUCAGUAGCGGGUCUGAGAGGAUGAUCCGCCACACUGGGACUGAGACACGGCCCAGACUCCUACGGGAGGCAGCAGUGGGGAAUUUUGGACAAUGGGCGCAAGCCUGAUCCAGCCAUGCCGCGUGUCUGAAGAAGGCCUUCGGGUUGUAAAGGACUUUUGUCAGGGAAGAAAAGGCUGUUGCUAAUACCGACAGCUGAUGACGGUACCUGAAGAAUAAGCACCGGCUAACUACGUGCCAGCAGCCGCGGUAAUACGUAGGGUGCGAGCGUUAAUCGGAAUUACUGGGCGUAAAGCGAGCGCAGACGGUUACUUAAGCAGGAUGUGAAAUCCCCGGGCUCAACCUGGGAACUGCGUUCUGAACUGGGUGACUAGAGUGUGUCAGAGGGAGGUAGAAUUCCACGUGUAGCAGUGAAAUGCGUAGAGAUGUGGAGGAAUACCGAUGGCGAAGGCAGCCUCCUGGGAUAACACUGACGUUCAUGCUCGAAAGCGUGGGUAGCAAACAGG